This 255-nucleotide ribosomal RNA is filed under the name uncultured bacterium. Its description in RNAcentral is "partial 16S ribosomal RNA". It matches the Rfam family "Bacterial small subunit ribosomal RNA", at positions 524 to 776 of the family's 1533-position model. The record is from RNAcentral.
UACGGAGGGGGGCUAGCGUUGUUCGGAAUUACUGGGCGUAAAGCGCGCGUAGGCGGCUUUGUAAGUUAGAGGUGAAAGCCCGGAGCUCAACUCCGGAACUGCCUUUAAGACUGCAUCGCUAGAAUUGUGGAGAGGUAAGUGGAAUUCCGAGUGUAGAGGUGAAAUUCGUAGAUAUUCGGAAGAACACCAGUGGCGAAGGCGACUUACUGGACACAUAUUGACGCUGAGGUGCGAAAAGCGUGGGGAGCAAACAGG